Molecule: ribosomal RNA, 253 nt
Filed under: uncultured bacterium
Lineage: Bacteria
Description: partial 16S ribosomal RNA
Rfam family: Bacterial small subunit ribosomal RNA
Source: RNAcentral
UACGAAGGGGGCUAGCGUUGUUCGGAAUUACUGGGCGUAAAGCGCACGUAGGCGGAUUGUUAAGUCGGGGGUGAAAUCCUGAGGCUCAACCUCAGAACUGCCUUCGAUACUGGCAAUCUCGAGUCCGGAAGAGGUUGGUGGAACAGCUAGUGUAGAGGUGAAAUUCGUAGAUAUUCGCAAGAACACCAGUGGCGAAGGCGGCUCACUGGCCCGGAACUGACGCUGAGGUGCGAAAGCGUGGGGAGCAAACAGG